This 29-nucleotide non-coding RNA is filed under the name Mus musculus (house mouse). Lineage: Eukaryota; Metazoa; Chordata; Mammalia; Rodentia; Muridae. The record is from RNAcentral.
UUCCUAUUGAGUAUGCAUUCCAAGGUCCA